This 136-nucleotide non-coding RNA is filed under the name Paenibacillus rhizosphaerae. RNAcentral describes it as "SAM-I sequence". It matches the Rfam family "SAM riboswitch aptamer (S box leader)". From Rfam's summary of the family: The SAM riboswitch is found upstream of a number of genes which code for proteins involved in methionine or cysteine biosynthesis in Gram-positive bacteria. The SAM riboswitch acts at the level of transcription termination control. Lineage: Bacteria; Bacillati; Bacillota; Bacilli; Caryophanales; Paenibacillaceae. The record is from Rfam by way of RNAcentral.
UUCUUAUCGAGAGAGGCGGAGGGACAGGCCCGAUGAAGCCCGGCAACCGAUUUGAGCACGGCAUCCGCCGUUACUUGAAUGUCAUGGUGCUAAUUCCUACAAGCUGCAGCUUAAGCUGCGGGUUGGCAGAUGAGAA